AGAGUUUGAUUAUGGCUCAGGAUGAACGCUGGCGGCGUGCCUAACACAUGCAAGUCGAACGGGUGUACGGGAUGGAAGGCUCCGGCCGGAAGCCCCGUGCAUGAGUGGCGGACGGGUGAGUAACGCGUGGGCAACCUGCCCUGUACAGGGGGACAACACUUAGAAAUAGGUGCUAAUACCGCAUAACGGGGGGAGCCGCAUGGCACCCCCCUGAAAACUCCGGUGGUACAGGAUGGGCCCGCGUCUGAUUAGCUAGUUGGCAGGGUAACGGCCUACCAAGGCGACGAUCAGUAGCCGGCCUGAGAGGGCGGACGGCCACACUGGGACUGAGACACGGCCCAGACUCCUACGGGAGGCAGCAGUGGGGGAUAUUGCACAAUGGGGGGAACCCUGAUGCAGCGACGCCGCGUGGGUGAAGGAGCGUUUCGGCGCGUAAAGCCCUAUCGGCAGGGAAGAAGGAGGACGGUACCUGACUAAGAAGCCCCGGCUAACUACGUGCCAGCAGCCGCGGUAAUACGUAGGGGGCAAGCGUUAUCCGGAUUUACUGGGUGUAAAGGGGGCGC
Molecule: ribosomal RNA, 563 nt
Filed under: uncultured bacterium
Lineage: Bacteria
Description: bacterial SSU rRNA
Rfam family: Bacterial small subunit ribosomal RNA
Source: RNAcentral